This 258-nucleotide ribosomal RNA is filed under the name uncultured bacterium. Its description in RNAcentral is "partial 16S ribosomal RNA". It matches the Rfam family "Bacterial small subunit ribosomal RNA", at positions 1234 to 1500 of the family's 1533-position model. The record is from RNAcentral.
CAGGUACAGCGGGAAGCCAUAUGGCGACAUAGAGCGGAACCCGAAAACCUGUCUCAGUUCGGAUUGGAGUCUGCAACCCGACUCCAUGAAGCUGGAUUCGCUAGUAAUCGCGCAUCAGCCACGGCGCGGUGAAUACGUUCCCGGGCCUUGUACACACCGCCCGUCAAGCCAUGGAAGCCGGGAGUGCCUGAAGUGUGCAGCCGCAAGGAGCGCCCUAAGGUAAAACCGGUGACUGGGGCUAAGUCGUAACAAGGUAGC